Camelina sativa (false flax) is the source of this 502-nucleotide non-coding RNA. The record is from RefSeq and is a predicted model, not a curated record. Lineage: Eukaryota; Viridiplantae; Streptophyta; Magnoliopsida; Brassicales; Brassicaceae.
CAAGGCUAUUCAUACAACAACGUUUGGUGAAACCUUUGACAUGAUACUCGAUGAUGCCAAGGGUACAAAGUUCACCCUUAUGUGAAAAAGGAUAUGAUGAACCGGUUCCUCAAAUUCAAGAGGAGAAGUCUUGCAAUUUAAAUUUGAAUUCAAUAUUCGAAUGUACCAUCUGAUUUUACAUGAAAUGUUGAGAUUAGAGGUUAGAAGCAACUCUGACCUCCUUAUCCUUCUAUGUGUGAGUUGGCAGAUCGAUAUGAACUUGAAAGACAUGUAGGCUGAGAGAACCAGCCAAAGUAAUAGUAUUCCUUGACAAGCAAAUGACAUCAUCUCUUUUAACUUCAUAAUCCGUUAUUGCCCAACAAAUAUACUAUGAGCAAUCGAUCUAUGCAAAAUUCCAAUUCGAUGAAGAACUGGGACAUAUCAAAGAAUUGGGAUUCUAAAGCAUCAAGCAGUGAGAGAGCUCACGAAUUUGGAGGGCUCUUCUCCUCGAGAAGAAGAUGCC